This 478-nucleotide ribosomal RNA is filed under the name uncultured bacterium. RNAcentral's name for it is "partial 16S ribosomal RNA". It matches the Rfam family "Bacterial small subunit ribosomal RNA", at positions 28 to 507 of the family's 1533-position model. The record is from RNAcentral.
GAUGAACGCUGGCGGCGUGCUUAACACAUGCAAGUCGAACGGGAAACCUUUUAAUGAAGCUUCGGCAGAUUUAGCUGGUUUCUAGUGGCGGACGGGUGAGUAACGCGUGGGUAACCUGCCUUAUACAGGGGGAUAACAGUCAGAACUGACUGCUAAUACCGCAUCAGCGUACAGGACCGCAUGGUCCGGUGUGAAAAACUCCGGUGGCAUCAGAUGGACCCGCGUUGGAUUUGCUUGUUGGUGGGGUAACGGCUCACCAAGGCGACGAUCCAUAGCCGGCCUGGGAGGGUGAACGGCCACAGUGGGACUGAGGCACGGCCCAGACUCCUACGGGAGGCAGCAGUGGGGAAUAUUGCACAAUGGGGGAAACCCUGAUGAAGCGACGCCGCGUGAAGGAAGAAGUAUCGCGGUAUGUAAACUUCUAUCAGCAGGGAAGAUAGUGACGGUACCUGACUAAGAAGCCCCGGCUAACUACGUG